CGGAACAAAACAAAAAUUUACAAUAGAGUAUGAACAAUCCUGAAUGAAGAACUCAUCCAAGAGAUCUAACUAUCCAAUCACCAUCCCAGCAUAUGCAAAAUAAUAUAUAUAUAUAUAAAAGACGGCAAAGAUGAUGAUUGAAACGGGUAGACAUAACCGACUGAGCAAAAACUAUUCCAGGCACUACAAAAGGAAUAGUUUUUGCUACCCGGUUUAAUUGGGAGUUAGGAGUGUAGGGAGACAAGUGGAAUUUAUGAUCUCAUUUUUUAAAGCAAAAGAAUAAGGAAAUUACCAUAAUAAUGACCCCGGUUUAAAGUGGAA
RNAcentral lists this unclassified non-coding RNA (321 nucleotides) under Hevea brasiliensis (rubber tree). The record is from RNAcentral. Lineage: Eukaryota; Viridiplantae; Streptophyta; Magnoliopsida; Malpighiales; Euphorbiaceae.